This 450-nucleotide ribosomal RNA is filed under the name uncultured bacterium. RNAcentral's name for it is "bacterial SSU rRNA". It matches the Rfam family "Bacterial small subunit ribosomal RNA", at positions 32 to 465 of the family's 1533-position model. The record is from RNAcentral.
AAUCAACGCUGGCGGCGUGCCUAACACAUGCAAGUUGAGCGCUUGAGGGGGCAACCCCAAGAGAGCAGCGAACGGGUGAGUAACGCGUGGGUGAUCUUCCUUCGAGUGGGGAACAACAUCGGGAAACUGGUGCUAAUUCCGCAUAAUACCCUGGGGCUACGAGCCUCAGGAUCAAAGCCGGGGACCGCAAGGCCUGGCGCUUGAAGAUGAGCCCGCGUCCGAUUAGCUAGUUGGCGGGGUAAUGGCCCACCAAGGCUUCGAUCGGUAGCCGGCCUGAGAGGGCGGACGGCCACACUGGAACUGAGACACGGUCCAGACUCCUACGGGAGGCAGCAGUGGGGAAUUUUUUCGCAAUGGGCGCAAGCCUGACGAAGCAACGCCGCGUGGAGGAUGAAGGUCUUCGGAUUGUAAACUCCUGUCGACCGGGACGAAUGCACCCAACCUAAUACG